AAAGGGGGAAAUUUAAAAAGCAGCAGUGUGGCUUCAACUGUGUUUGGAUGGAUCAUGUUUUCAAAACAGAACCAAAGAAAAUGCUGCAACGGCCACUGUUACCAUGGUUACCAUGUCAGCCGUUAACACCAUCAGUUACGUUAGAGCCUCACUGAUGCUUCCACCACCAUGCCUAACAGUGGGAGAAGCGUUUACUGAUACAGCUCGGUUCGUCUGACCAGAGGUCCGAGGUGUGUGUGAAAGAGCUUUGAACGGAAUUACUGUGUGUGUGUGUGUGUGUGUGUGU
Molecule: long non-coding RNA, 286 nt
Organism: Poecilia latipinna (sailfin molly)
Lineage: Eukaryota; Metazoa; Chordata; Actinopteri; Cyprinodontiformes; Poeciliidae
Exons: 3
Source: RefSeq, a predicted model, not a curated record